GCCCUGGUGGUGAAAUUGGUAGACACGCCAUCUUGAGGGGGUGGUGCCGUAAGGCGUCGCGGUUCGAGUCCGCGUCAGGGCA
RNAcentral lists this transfer RNA (82 nucleotides) under Gemmatimonadaceae bacterium. RNAcentral describes it as "tRNA-Leu". Lineage: Bacteria; Pseudomonadati; Gemmatimonadota; Gemmatimonadia; Gemmatimonadales; Gemmatimonadaceae. The record is from RNAcentral.